GCCUACGGGAGGCAGCAGUGAAGAAUAUUGGUCAAUGGUCGGGAGACUGAACCAGCCAAGCCGCGUGAGGGAUGAAGGUACAGAGUAUCGUAAACCUCUUUGUCAGGGAACAAAGGCGGGGACGCGUCCCCGGAUGAGUGUACCUGAAGAAAAAGCAUCGGCUAACUCCGUGCCAGCAGCCGCGGUAAUACGGAGGAUGCGAGCCUUAUCCGGAUUUAUUGGGUUUAAAGGGUGCGCAGGCGGUCUGUUAAGUCAGCGGUCAAAGCCCGGGGCUCAACCCCGGCCCGCCGUUGAAACUGGCAGUC
RNAcentral lists this ribosomal RNA (305 nucleotides) under uncultured bacterium. Its description in RNAcentral is "bacterial SSU rRNA". It matches the Rfam family "Bacterial small subunit ribosomal RNA", at positions 337 to 641 of the family's 1533-position model. The record is from RNAcentral.